GACUCCCUCUAACUCCUUUCCUCUCUCCCUCCUCCUCCUCCUCAUCUCUCCCUCCUCCUCAUCUCUCCCUCCUCCUCCUCCUCUCGUACUGGUCCUGUGCUCUCCCCGUGGUGAGGCAGUCCGGCGGAGCGAGAGCGAGAGCGAGUGUGUGUGUGUGUGUGUGUGUGUGCGUUCCUGUUCCUGUAUCAGCGCUGGGAUACCAGUCAGCAGCAUGAAACCUUGAAUCCGAUCGAGACUGGACACAGUGUAACAGGCAACACGGCAACAGAGUGUGACUGCUGCAAAGAGAUGUGGAGUGUGUGAGCGCGCAACAACAGCAGUUACUGAACACACCUUCUCCCCACAUACUCGUGAAGGUUCACUGGACACAGCACACAACAGACCAGCGUUUGAACAGCACAGACACGGCUGCCAUAUCUGAGGGUGCCGCGACCUACAGCUCAUCCGUCUGUACAUGGAGACCACGAGCUGGGCAGAAUUUGGGUCCCUUAAUCUGCGUUGGAUUUAAUG
Long non-coding RNA from Clupea harengus (Atlantic herring), 510 nucleotides. NCBI's taxonomy places the organism in Eukaryota, Metazoa, Chordata, Actinopteri, Clupeiformes, Clupeidae. The record is from Ensembl.